GAUGAACGCUAGCGGGAGGCCUAACACAUGCAAGCCGAGCGGUAUUGUUUCUUCGGAAAUGAGAGAGCGGCGUACGGGUGCGGAACACGUGUGCAACCUGCCUUUAUCUGGGGGAUAGCCUUUCGAAAGGAAGAUUAAUACUCCAUAAUAUAUUGAACGGCAUCGUUUAAUAUUGAAAGCUCCGGCGGAUAGAGAUGGGCACGCGCAAGAUUAGCUAGUUGGUGAGGUAACGGCUCACCAAGGCGAUGAUCUUUAGGGGGCCUGAGAGGGUGAUCCCCCACACUGGUACUGAGACACGGACCAGACUCCUACGGGAGGCAGCAGUGAGGAAUAUUGGUCAAUGGGUGCAAGCCUGAACCAGCCAUCCCGCGUGAAGGACGACUGCCCUAUGGGUUGUAAACUUCUUUUGUAUAGGGAUAAACCUACCCUCGUGAGGGUAGCUGAAGGUACUAUACGAAUAAGCACCGGCUAACUCCGUGCCAGCAGCCGCGGUAAUACGGAGGGUGCAAGCGUUAUCCGGAUUUAUUGGGUUUAAAGGGUCCGUAGGCGGACUUAUAAGUCAGUGGUGAAAGCCUGUCGCUUAACGAUAGAACUGCCAUUGAUACUGUAAGUCUUGAGUAUAUUUGAGGUAGCUGGAAUAAGUAGUGUAGCGGUGAAAUGCAUAGAUAUUACUUAGAACACCAAUUGCGAAGGCAGGUUACCAAGAUAUAACUGACGCUGAGGGACGAAAGCGUGGGGAGCGAACAGGAUUAGAUACCCUGGUAGUCCACGCCGUAAACGAUGCUAACUCGUUUUUGGGCUUUAGGGUUCAGAGACCAAGCGAAAGUGAUAAGUUAGCCACCUGGGGAGUACGCUCGCAAGAGUGAAACUCAAAGGAAUUGACGAGGGCCCGCACAAGCGGUGGAUUAUGUGGUUUAAUUCGAUGAUACGCGAGGAACCUUACCAAGACUUAAAUGGGAAUUGACAGCUUUAGAAAUAGAGCUUUCUUCGGACAAUUUUCAAGGUGCUGCAUGGUUGUCGUCAGCUCGUGCCGUGAGGUGUUAGGUUAAGUCCUGCAACGAGCGCAACCCCUGUCACUAGUUGCCAUCAUUCAGUUGGGGACUCUAGUGAGACUGCCUACGCAAGUAGAGAGGAAGGUGGGGAUGACGUCAAAUCAUCACGGCCCUUACGUCUUGGGCCACACACGUAAUACAAUGGCCGGUACAGAGGGCAGCUACACAGCGAUGUGAUGCAAAUCUCGAAAGCCGGUCUCAGUUCGGAUUGGAGUCUGCAACUCGACUCUAUGAAGCUGGAAUCGCUAGUAAUCGCGCAUCAGCCAUGGCGCGGUGAAUACGUGCCCGGGCCU
RNAcentral lists this ribosomal RNA (1345 nucleotides) under uncultured bacterium. RNAcentral's name for it is "bacterial SSU rRNA". It matches the Rfam family "Bacterial small subunit ribosomal RNA", at positions 28 to 1381 of the family's 1533-position model. The record is from RNAcentral.